This 496-nucleotide ribosomal RNA is filed under the name uncultured bacterium. Its description in RNAcentral is "partial 16S ribosomal RNA". It matches the Rfam family "Bacterial small subunit ribosomal RNA", at positions 28 to 507 of the family's 1533-position model. The record is from RNAcentral.
GAUGAACGCUGGCGGCGUGCCUAACACAUGCGAGUCGAACGGAGAAGCUUGGCGCUUGCCUCGAGCGGGUGAGUUGCGAGCGGGUGAGUCACGCGAAGGUCCCCUGCCUGGUAGCGGGGGAUCCCUAUUGGAACCGUUAGCUAAUACCGCAUAAGAGUAGGAAUUGCAUGGUAUCUGCUAGAAAGGUGCAACUGCAUCACUAACAGCUGGUUCUGCGUUGUAUUAGCUAGUUGGUGAGGUAACGGCCUACCAAGGCGACGAUACAUAGCCGACCUGAGAGGGUGAUCGGCCACACUGGAACUGAGACACGGUCCAGACUCCUACGGGAGGCAGCAGUAGGGAAUCUUCGGCAAUGGGGGGAACCCUGACCCAGCAACGCCGCGUGUGUGAAGAAGGUUUUCGGAUCGUAAAGCUCUGUUGGAAGGGAAGAACGGGUGUAAGAGUGGAAAGUGCACACUUGACGGUAAUCUUACAAGAAGCGCACGCCAAAUUAGGG